This 497-nucleotide ribosomal RNA is filed under the name uncultured bacterium. RNAcentral's name for it is "partial 16S ribosomal RNA". It matches the Rfam family "Bacterial small subunit ribosomal RNA", at positions 28 to 507 of the family's 1533-position model. The record is from RNAcentral.
GAUGAACGCUGGCGGCGUGCCUAAUACAUGCAAGUCGAGCGAACAGACGAGGAGCUUGCUCCUCUGACGUUAGCGGCGGACGGGUGAGUAACACGUGGAUAACCUACCUAUAAGACUGGGAUAACUUCGGGAAACCGGAGCUAAUACCGGAUAAUAUAUUGAACCGCAUGGUUCAAUAGUGAAAGACGGUUUUGCUGUCACUUAUAGAUGGAUCCGCGCCGCAUUAGCUAGUUGGUAAGGUAACGGCUUACCAAGGCAACGAUGCGUAACCGACCUGAGAGCGUGAUCGGCCACACUGGACCUGGGACACGGUCCAGACUCCUACGAGAGGCCGCAGUAGGGUAUCUUCCGCACUGGACGAGAGCCUGACGGAGCGACGCCGCGUGGGUGAUGAAGGUCUUCGGAUCGUGAAACUCUGUUAUUAGGGAAGAACAAAUGUGUAAGUAGCUAUGCACGUCUUGACGGUACCAGAUCAGAAAGCCACGGCUAACUACGUG